GUGUUGUUGGGUAGGGGAGCGUUCUGUAAGCCUGCGAAGGUGGCCUGUGAGGGCUGCUGGAGGUAUCAGAAGUGCGAAUGCUGACAUAAGUAACGAUAAUGCGGGUGAAAAACCCGCACGCCGGAAGACCAAGGGUUCCUGUCCAACGUUAAUCGGGGCAGGGUGAGUCGACCCCUAAGGCGAGGCUGAAAAGCGUAGUCGAUGGGAAACAGGUUAAUAUUCCUGUACUCGGUGUUACUGCGAAGGGGGGACGGAGAAAGCUAGGUUAUCCGGGCGACGGUUGUCCCGGUUUAAGCGUGAAGGUGGGUGACUUUGGUAAAUCCGGGUCAUCAUUAACACUGAGGCGUGAUGACGAGUCACUACGGUGAUGAAGUAACCGAUGCUACGCUUCCAGGAAAAGCCUCUAAGCUCCAGGUAACAUCAAAUCGUACCCCAAACCGACACAGGUGGUCAGGUAGAGAAUACUCAGGCGCUUGAGAGAACUCGGGUGAAGGAACUAGGCAAAAUGGUGCCGUAACUUCGGGAGAAGGCACGCUGAUGGUAGGUGAAGUGACUUGCUCAUGGAGCUGAAAUCAGUCGAAGAUACCAGCUGGCUGCAACUGUUUAAUAAAAACACAGCACUGUGCAAACACGAAAGUGGACGUAUACGGUGUGACGCCUGCCCGGUGCCGGAAGGUUAAUUGAUGGGGUCAGCCGCAAGGCGAAGCUCUUGAUCGAAGCCCCGGUAAACGGCGGCCGUAACUAUAACGGUCCUAAGGUAGCGAAAUUCCUUGUCGGGUAAGUUCCGACCUGCACGAAUGGCGUAAUGAUGGCCAGGCUGUCUCCACCCGAGACUCAGUGAAAUUGAACUCGCUGUGAAGAUGCAGUGUACCCGCGGCAAGACGGAAAGACCCCGUGAACCUUUACUAUAGCUUGACACUGAACCUUGAGCCUUGAUGUGUAGGAUAGGUGGGAGGCUUUGAAGCGUGGACGCCAGUCUGCGUGGAGCCAACCUUGAAAUACCACCCUUUAAUGUUUGAUGUUCUAACGUGGACCCGUAAUCCGGGUUGCGGACAGUGUCUGGUGGGUAGUUUGACUGGGGCGGUCUCCUCCCAAAGCGUAACGGAGGAGCACGAAGGUUAGCUAAUCCUGGUCGGACAUCAGGAGGUUAGUGCAAAGGCAUAAGCUAGCUUGACUGCGAGAGUGACAGCUCGAGCAGGUGCGAAAGCAGGUCUUAGUGAUCCGGUGGUUCUGAAUGGAAGGGCCAUCGCUCAACGGAUAAAAGGUACUCCGGGGAUAACAGGCUGAUACCGCCCAAGAGUUCAUAUCGACGGCGGUGUUUGGCACCUCGAUGUCGGCUCAUCACAUCCUGGGGCUGAAGUAGGUCCCAAGGGUAUGGCUGUUCGCCAUUUAAAGUGGUACGCGAGCUGGGUUUAGAACGUCGUGAGACAGUUCGGUCCCUAUCUGCCGUGGGCGUUGGAAGAUUGAGAGGGGUUGCUCCUAGUACGAGAGGACCGGAGUGAACGCACCACUGGUGUACGGGUUGUGAUGCCAAUUGCAUUGCCCGGUAGCUAAGUGCGGAAGAGAUAACCGCUGAAAGCAUCUAAGCGGGAAACUUGCCUCGAGAUGAGUCUUCCCUGGGUACUUGAUACCCCUGAAGGGCCGUUGAAGACGACGACGUAGAUAGGCUGGGUGUGUAAGCGUAGCGAUACGUUGAGCUAACCAGUACUAAUGACCCGAGAGGCUUAACCUUACAACACCGAAGGUGUUU
This 1750-nucleotide ribosomal RNA is filed under the name Pectobacterium brasiliense. RNAcentral describes it as "bacterial LSU rRNA". It matches the Rfam family "Bacterial large subunit ribosomal RNA", at positions 1218 to 2925 of the family's 2925-position model. Lineage: Bacteria; Pseudomonadati; Pseudomonadota; Gammaproteobacteria; Enterobacterales; Pectobacteriaceae. The record is from RNAcentral.